Molecule: ribosomal RNA, 494 nt
Filed under: uncultured bacterium
Lineage: Bacteria
Description: partial 16S ribosomal RNA
Rfam family: Bacterial small subunit ribosomal RNA
Source: RNAcentral
GACGAACGCUGGCGGCGUGCCUAAUACAUGCAAGUAGAACGCUGAAGGAGGAGCUUGCUUCUCCGGAUGAGUUGCGAACGGGUGAGUAACACGUAGGUAACCUGCCUGGUAGCGGGGGAUAACUAUUGGAAACGAUAGCUAAUACCGCAUAAGAGUAGAUGUCGCAUGACAUUUGCUUAAAAGGUGCAACUGCACCACUACCGGAUGGACCUGCGUUGUAUUAGCUAGUUGGUGAGGUAACGGCUCACCAAGGCAACGAUACAUAGCCGACCUGAGAGGGGGACGCGCCACACGGGGAUUGAAACCGGGCCCACACCCCAAGGGGAGGCAGCAGGAGGGACUUUUCGGAAAUGGAGGGAAGUCUGACCGAGCAACGCCGGGGGAGUGAAGAAGGUUUUCGGCUUGUAAAGCUCUUUUUAAAGAGAAGAACGGUGGGGGGAGGGGAAAGUGCACCCUGUGGGGGUUUUUUACCAAAAAGGGGCGGCUAAUCGCGU